AGAGUUUGAUCAUGGCUCAGGACGAACGCUGGCGGCGUGCUUAACACAUGCAAGUCAAGGACCGUAGCAAUACGGGACUGGCGCACGGGUGCGGAACACGUAGGCAAUCUGCCCGGAAAGGGAGCACAACCAGCCGAAAGGUUGGCUAAAUCUCCGUAAAAUCAUAGAGUGGCAUCACUUAUUGAUCAAGUUUUUUUCCGGAUGAGCCUGCGUCUGAUUAGAUAGUUGGCGGGGUAACGGCCCACCAAGUCUGCGAUCAGUAGCUGGUCUGAGAGGAUGAUCAGCCACAUCGGGACUGAGAUACGGCCCAGACUCCUACGGGAGGCAGCAGUGAGGAAUAUUGCUCAAUGGGGGAAACCCUGAAGCAGCAACGCCGCGUAAAGGAUGAAGGCGCUUUGCGUUGUAAACUUUUGUAGUCGGGGACAAAUGGCGGGUUACUACCCGCUUGAUGGUACCCGAAAAGUAAGGAUCGGCUAACUACGUGCCAGCAGCCGCGGUAAUACGUAGGAUCCGAGCGUUGUCCGGAUUUACUGGGUGUAAAGGGUGCGCAGGCGGACUGGUAAGUCAGUGGUGAAAUCUCGUCGCUUAACGACGAAACUGCCUUUGAUACUAUCAGUCUUGAAUCCGGUAGAGAUCUGUGGAAUUCCGAGUGUAGCAGUGAAAUGUGUAGAUAUUCGGAAGAACACCAGUGGCGAAGGCAGCAGAUUGGGCCGGUAUUGACGCUCAGGCACGAAAGCAUGGGGAUCAAACAGGAUUAGAUACCCUAGUAGUCC
Molecule: ribosomal RNA, 773 nt
Filed under: uncultured bacterium
Lineage: Bacteria
Description: bacterial SSU rRNA
Rfam family: Bacterial small subunit ribosomal RNA
Source: RNAcentral